Molecule: non-coding RNA, 22 nt
Filed under: Pteropus alecto (black flying fox)
Lineage: Eukaryota; Metazoa; Chordata; Mammalia; Chiroptera; Pteropodidae
Also listed under: 6 other names
Gene: pal-miR-374b-3p
Source: miRBase by way of RNAcentral
CUUAGCAGGUUGUAUUAUCAUU